Molecule: ribosomal RNA, 427 nt
Filed under: uncultured bacterium
Lineage: Bacteria
Description: bacterial SSU rRNA
Rfam family: Bacterial small subunit ribosomal RNA
Source: RNAcentral
UGGGGAAUUUUGGACAAUGGGCGCAAGCCUGAUCCAGCCAUGCCGCGUGAGUGAAGAAGGCCUUCGGGUUGUAAAGCUCUUUCGGACGGGAAGAAAUGACGGGCUCUAACAUAGCCUGUCGAUGACGGUACCGUAAGAAGAAGCACCGGCUAACUACGUGCCAGCAGCCGCGGUAAUACGUAGGGUGCGAGCGUUAAUCGGAAUUACUGGGCGUAAAGCGUGCGCAGGCGGUUUUGUAAGACAGAUGUGAAAUCCCCGGGCUUAACCUGGGAACUGCGUUUGUGACUGCAAGGCUGGAGUACGGCAGAGGGGGGUGGAAUUCCACGUGUAGCAGUGAAAUGCGUAGAGAUGUGGAGGAACACCGAUGGCGAAGGCAGCCCCCUGGGCCUGUACUGACGCUCACGCACGAAAGCGUGGGGAGCAAACA